This 1540-nucleotide ribosomal RNA is filed under the name Staphylococcus aureus DAR948. RNAcentral describes it as "16S ribosomal RNA". It matches the Rfam family "Bacterial small subunit ribosomal RNA". Lineage: Bacteria; Bacillati; Bacillota; Bacilli; Caryophanales; Staphylococcaceae. The record is from RNAcentral. RNAcentral also lists the same sequence under 1 other name.
AGAGUUUGAUCCUGGCUCAGGAUGAACGCUGGCGGCGUGCCUAAUACAUGCAAGUCGAGCGAACGGACGAGAAGCUUGCUUCUCUGAUGUUAGCGGCGGACGGGUGAGUAACACGUGGAUAACCUACCUAUAAGACUGGGAUAACUUCGGGAAACCGGAGCUAAUACCGGAUAAUAUUUUGAACCGCAUGGUUCAAAAGUAAAAGACGGUCUUGCUGUCACUUAUAGAUGGAUCCGCGCUGCAUUAGCUAGUUGGUAAGGUAACGGCUUACCAAGGCAACGAUGCAUAGCCGACCUGAGAGGGUGAUCGGCCACACUGGAACUGAGACACGGUCCAGACUCCUACGGGAGGCAGCAGUAGGGAAUCUUCCGCAAUGGGCGAAAGCCUGACGGAGCAACGCCGCGUGAGUGAUGAAGGUCUUCGGAUCGUAAAACUCUGUUAUUAGGGAAGAACAUAUGUGUAAGUAACUGUGCACAUCUUGACGGUACCUAAUCAGAAAGCCACGGCUAACUACGUGCCAGCAGCCGCGGUAAUACGUAGGUGGCAAGCGUUAUCCGGAAUUAUUGGGCGUAAAGCGCGCGUAGGCGGUUUUUUAAGUCUGAUGUGAAAGCCCACGGCUCAACCGUGGAGGGUCAUUGGAAACUGGAAAACUUGAGUGCAGAAGAGGAAAGUGGAAUUCCAUGUGUAGCGGUGAAAUGCGCAGAGAUAUGGAGGAACACCAGUGGCGAAGGCGACUUUCUGGUCUGUAACUGACGCUGAUGUGCGAAAGCGUGGGGAUCAAACAGGAUUAGAUACCCUGGUAGUCCACGCCGUAAACGAUGAGUGCUAAGUGUUAGGGGGUUUCCGCCCCUUAGUGCUGCAGCUAACGCAUUAAGCACUCCGCCUGGGGAGUACGACCGCAAGGUUGAAACUCAAAGGAAUUGACGGGGACCCGCACAAGCGGUGGAGCAUGUGGUUUAAUUCGAAGCAACGCGAAGAACCUUACCAAAUCUUGACAUCCUUUGACAACUCUAGAGAUAGAGUCUUCCCCUUCGGGGGACAAAGUGACAGGUGGUGCAUGGUUGUCGUCAGCUCGUGUCGUGAGAUGUUGGGUUAAGUCCCGCAACGAGCGCAACCCUUAAGCUUAGUUGCCAUCAUUAAGUUGGGCACUCUAAGUUGACUGCCGGUGACAAACCGGAGGAAGGUGGGGAUGACGUCAAAUCAUCAUGCCCCUUAUGAUUUGGGCUACACACGUGCUACAAUGGACAAUACAAAGGGCAGCGAAACCGCGAGGUCAAGCAAAUCCCAUAAAGUUGUUCUCAGUUCGGAUUGUAGUCUGCAACUCGACUACAUGAAGCUGGAAUCGCUAGUAAUCGUAGAUCAGCAUGCUACGGUGAAUACGUUCCCGGGUCUUGUACACACCGCCCGUCACACCACGAGAGUUUGUAACACCCGAAGCCGGUGGAGUAACCUUUUAGGAGCUAGCCGUCGAAGGUGGGACAAAUGAUUGGGGUGAAGUCGUAACAAGGUAGCCGUAUCGGAAGGUGCGGCUGGAUCACCU